This 655-nucleotide long non-coding RNA is filed under the name Gossypium barbadense (sea-island cotton). Its description in RNAcentral is "long non-coding RNA (GBAR_LNC011397)". Lineage: Eukaryota; Viridiplantae; Streptophyta; Magnoliopsida; Malvales; Malvaceae. The record is from RNAcentral.
CUUGACUGUCCUAUUUUAUUUAUUGAUGAUCUAUCUGUUUUGAUGGUUGAUAAAAAGAUUCUUGUUUUUGAUAAUGCAUGUGUGAGUGAAUCUAUAGACCGUCGAUUAAUGCAUGGUAUGAUUAUGCAACUCUGUGAACCAUGUAAAUCUUUUCAAAUACCUACUUGUGACGAUUAUGUUUACCAUUUGAUUUAUUACUUGCAAUUUAUUCAUGGUUUGUGGGAACAAUGUGAGACGACUGAAUGCCUUAAAACAUGUCCAUCUUUGUUUCAAAUAUUUGACGAGGCAGUGGUGAGUAAAUUAGAUUGUUUGCAUGGUAAUCUGAAUCUGUCCAUUCACAUGCGUUAUACCUGUUCUGUUAUGCUUAUGAUUGGACUACAAGCUUGUUUCCGUUGCUAUUUACUAUCUCAUGAACACUUAGAUCGAAACGUGCUUGACUGUCCUAUUUUAUUUAUUGAUGAUCUAUCUGUUUUGAUGGUUGAUAAAAAUAUUCUUGUUUUUGAUAAUGCAUGUGUGAGUGAAUCUAUAGACCGUCGAUUAAUGCAUGGUAUGAUUAUGCAACUCUGUGAACCAUGUGAAUCUUUUCAAAUACCUACUUGUGACGAUUAUGUUUACCAUUUGAUUUAUUACUCGCAAUUUAUUCAUGGUUUGUGGG